CUCUACCACCUCAGACGCUUGAGAGACUUCCAACUGCCCUCCAAGGUGCUCAGGAACUUUUACUCGUGCACCAUAGAGAGCAUCCUGGCGGGAAACAUCUUAACCUGGUUCGGGAACAGCACCAUGCAGGACAGACGAGCUCUACAGAGGGUUGUGCGGUCAGCUGAGCGCACCAUCCGCUCCGAGCUCCCUGACCUGCACUCAAUCUACAGCAGGCGGUGCUGGACCAAGGCCAGGAAGAUGGUGAAGGACCUCAGCCAUCCCAACAACAGACUGUUCUCUCUGCUGAGGUCAGGAAAGCGAUUCCGCUCCCUGAAGACCAACACAGAGAGACUGAGGAGGAGCUUCUUCCCGCAGGCGAUACGGUCACGAGCAGUUGUCCAAGCAUUUCACUACAUAUCGUACUGUGUAUGACUGUGUACGUGACAAAUAAAAUUUGAAUUUGAAUUUGAAUUUGAGCUUCCCUCCCUCCAAGACAUCUACAGGAAGCGGUGCCUGAGGAAAGCGGGGAGGAUCAUCAAGGACUCCAGUCACCCCAGCCAUAAACUGUUCAGACUGCUUCCAUCAGGAAGGAGGUUCUGCAGCAUCCGGUCCCGUACCAGCAGACUGAGAGACAGCUUCUUCCACCAGGCCAUCAGACUGCUGAACACGUCAUAGACACCUCAGCUUCACUACUGGAACUUUAACAUUAUGCACUCCAUACUGUACAGUAACGCCACUGUUUUGCACAUGUCUCACUCUGUAUAUUUUUAUAUAUUUUAUUUAUUGUUUACUCUAUUUAAUUUGUAAAAUAUGUGUACACACACAUACACACACACACACACACAUGUAGAAAAAUAUUUAGUAUACACA
This is a long non-coding RNA of Astatotilapia calliptera (eastern happy), 852 nucleotides long. The record is from Ensembl. Lineage: Eukaryota; Metazoa; Chordata; Actinopteri; Cichliformes; Cichlidae.